GGGAAGGCGCGGCAGGGCCCGACGGCGCGGCCGGGCCGGGGCCGGGGGACCGGAGCUGCCGCCGCGGGGGUGCCCGGGCUGUGCCCGCGGGGCGGCGGCUCCGACGAGACGGCGGCUCCCGCUGCCCGGCCCGCCCCGAGGGGGCCUGUGGCGCGGCAGCUCCGGCCGGGCACCCUGUCCCGCUGCCUUCCCCGCCGCGGCGCCGGCUCGCCGCUAUCGACCGGCGGGCUCCCGGGGCGGUUUGCCGCAGGGACGCGCCUGCACCCGGCCCCUCUUUGAGCCGCGUGGCGGGGAGCGGCGUGGCUGGAGGUGCGCGGCCCAAAGGCCCCAGGCCGAGUGCCGGAGCGGAGGGCCCGGCCCCACCGGCCGGGGGCAGCACCGGCCCGUGCCCAGGCACCGUGACACCUGCCCGGGGCCCCCGGUAAUUAGCCCCCGGGGACUUGCGGGCCACGCGCGGAGCCCUGAGGUAAGGCACCGGCACACGGACAGCGGGAGGUUUAUUUCAUUUCCAAGGAGGACGGCACCGCCGUGCUUUCCGCAACAACCAGCGGUGAGCGGCGAGCGCCGCCGGGCUGGGGCCGCCGGGGAGAGCCUGGCGGCCCCGGGUCCCACGCCGGCUCCCGGUGGACCCUGCCCGGCGGGGCGGGGGGCGGUGCAGCCGGAGCGGGGCGGGCUCCCUCCCGCCCCCGAAGGACAGCGACUGAACGGGCCUGGGGGCGCUCGGCGCGGACCCGCUGGCCACUCCGGCCCGGCCCCCGCGGCGCCCACCCCGGUGCCCGCAGGGGCCCGCCACCGCCCUGUACGCGCCCGCGGCUCUGGAGAAGGAACCGCCGGCGGCCGCCGCCACGCAGCGGCUGCCGCGGCGCCCGAGAGCGCCGUUGCGCCCGCAGCUCCCGGGCACCGGGGCGGGCUCGGCGCCGCGGGGCACCCGGCGGCCGGCGCGGCGGAGCCACCCCGCGCGGCCCCGCUCCCCUGCCCGGCCGCGCCGCUCCGCCGGCCCCGCCCCGGCCCCGCCCCACCGGCCGGCAGCGCGGCUCGGCGCGGCCCCAUUGGCGGCGGUACGGCGCGCCGGCCCCGCCCCCGGGCGCCCAUUGGCCGCCGCUCACCGUCGCCCGCCCCCGCGCCGCCCGCCCCCGCGCCGCCCGCCGGCGCUCCGGACUGCGGGCAGUGGCGUGCGGCCGCCGCAGCGAGCGCCGGCGGGAGCGGGCUCGGCGCGGCGCGGUUCGGCCCCGCUCGGUUCGGCGCGGCACGGCGCGGCUCGGCUCGGCACCCCGCUCCCGCACGCCAUGCCUGGCCCAGCCGCGGCGCCGCCGGCUCGGAGCGCCUGAGCGGGCGGUGUUGGCGUGGGCGCGGGGGACCGCGGCUCCGGUGCCCGCACCCGCCCGCCGCCGCCGCCGCGGCCGGGGCAGCCCGGCGGGCGCUGUCCGAAUGAGGGCUGCGGGCCCCUGAGGCGGGCGGCCGGCGGCCGUCGGGGCGCGGCG
Molecule: long non-coding RNA, 1481 nt
Filed under: Falco tinnunculus (common kestrel)
Lineage: Eukaryota; Metazoa; Chordata; Aves; Falconiformes; Falconidae
Description: lncRNA (ENSFTIG00000003389.1)
Source: RNAcentral